This 253-nucleotide ribosomal RNA is filed under the name uncultured bacterium. RNAcentral's name for it is "partial 16S ribosomal RNA". It matches the Rfam family "Bacterial small subunit ribosomal RNA", at positions 524 to 776 of the family's 1533-position model. The record is from RNAcentral.
UACGGGGGGGGCAAGCGUUGUUCGGAAUUACUGGGCGUAAAGGGCGCGUAGGCGGCUUGGCAAGUCGGAUGUGGAAUCCCUCGGCUCAACCAAGGAAGUGCAUCCGAAACUGCUGAGCUUGAGUACUUAAGAGGAUCGCGGAAUUCCCGGUGUAGAGGUGAAAUUCGUAGAUAUCGGGAGGAACACCAGUGGCGAAGGCGGCGAUCUGGGAAGAUACUGACGCUGAGGUGCGAAAGCGUGGGGAGCAAACAGG